RNAcentral lists this ribosomal RNA (257 nucleotides) under uncultured bacterium. RNAcentral describes it as "partial 16S ribosomal RNA". It matches the Rfam family "Bacterial small subunit ribosomal RNA", at positions 335 to 609 of the family's 1533-position model. The record is from RNAcentral.
UACCUACGGGAGGCAGCAGUGGGGAAUAUUGCACAAUGGGGGAAACCCUGAUGCAGCGACGCCGCGUGAGUGAAGAAGUAUUUGGGUAUGUAAAGCUUUAUCAGCAGGGAAGAAGAAAGACGGUACCUGACUAAGAAGCCCCGGCUAACUACGUGCCAGCAGCCGCGGUAAUACGUAGGGGGCAAGCGUUAUCCGGAUUUACUGGGUGUAAAGGGAGCGUAAACGGAGCAGCAAGUCUGAUGUGAAAGGUCGUGGCC